Molecule: ribosomal RNA, 312 nt
Filed under: uncultured bacterium
Lineage: Bacteria
Description: bacterial SSU rRNA
Rfam family: Bacterial small subunit ribosomal RNA
Source: RNAcentral
GACGAACGCUGGCGGCGUGCCUAAUACAUGCAAGUAGAACGCUGAGGACUGGUGCUUGCACUGGUCUAAGGAGUUGCGAACGGGUGAGUAACGCGUGAGGAACCUGCCUCGGAGUGGGGAAUAACAGCCCGAAAGGGUUGCUAAUACCGCAUGAUGCAGCUGGGUCGCAUGACCCUGGCUGCCAAAGAUUUAUCGCUCUGAGAUGGCCUCGCGCCUGAUUAGCUAGUAGGCGAGGUAACGGCCCACCUAGGCGACGAUCAGUAGCCGGACUGAGAGGUUGACCGGCCACAUUGGGACUGAGACACGGCCCAG